UGGUGGAGAUCCAGUUCAGUGUCUUAAUAUAAAUCAGAAGCAGAGGUUAAAACCGAAUACCCCAGUCCCAGGCCAGUACUGCACUAAUCUUCAUCCCCUCACAGCUGUGCUUGCAGGAAAAAAGAAAUCAUUUAACAGAUAUCCCAAGGCAAGGACAGGUUAGAAAUGAGGAGACAGAACAUGUGGAACUGAGAUCCUCCCUGCCAGAAAAAGAAAGCGAGGUUGUACAGGGGGAAAUUUACUCCAGUGGCCCCUCUUGAGGUGUGGUGACCCUGCCAUACUCUCCACCUCAUCUUAUCUACCCAGCAUGUAAUCACAGAGCUGCUCAAAGCAGGAACCUGCCUCUGUCCUUGAAACCCAGUGGUGUCUCAGCAUGGCUGAACUGUCUUCCCUCCUUGGAAAAGAGCGUUGCCUGAGGAUUGCUGCUGGACUGGUAAAAGGCCAGGCUUUCAACACCACCUUGACACGGCAUUGCUGACACUUUAAGACAAGAGGGCCUUCUUUUACACCUCUCUUUGGAUUUCCAGGAUUUCUCUUCUGUGACUGGUGAAGAGUGGAAUGGAAAACUUCAAGCCAAAAAUGUGCUGAAGGCUGAUCUCCAUCUUCAUAUUUAUACCUUAAUAUAAGAACCUUUCAUUAUUGGCUUCCCUUUCUGUUUAGAUUUAAUAGGAAUGUUUCAAUUAGGUUCCAGAAGUGAAUGAAAUAUUUGAAUCAUCAAGAGUGUAAGGAUGCAGUGUGGAAGGGUGGAAGGGAAUAUGUUUGUCCCUCCCUUUCCCUCAGUGCAGAGAUGUGUUUGAUGUGCCCCAGAUGUGUU
This is a long non-coding RNA of Cyanistes caeruleus (blue tit), 814 nucleotides long. RefSeq lists it as uncharacterized. Lineage: Eukaryota; Metazoa; Chordata; Aves; Passeriformes; Paridae. The record is from RefSeq and is a predicted model, not a curated record.